Molecule: non-coding RNA, 144 nt
Filed under: Schistosoma mansoni
Lineage: Eukaryota; Metazoa; Platyhelminthes; Trematoda; Strigeidida; Schistosomatidae
Source: RNAcentral
CCCGACCGUUGCUGCUACCUUGACGUGGUGAUCGGGUUUGCCUAUCGUGGUGAACCAAUCGAGCUAUACUGACCAUAAUAAUCGUUCCCCCAGGUCUUACCAUUCCAGACAGGUCAGUUGAAGAGCGAUAAGACUAAAAGCAAC